CCUACGGGCGGCAGCAGUGGGGAAUAUUGCACAAUGGGGGAAACCCUGAUGCAGCGACGCCGCGUGAGCGAUGAAGUAUUUCGGUAUGUAAAGCUCUAUCAGCAGGGAAGAAAAUGACGGUACCUGACUAAGAAGCCCCGGCUAACUACGUGCCAGCAGCCGCGGUAACACGUAGGGGGCAAGCGUUAUCCGGAUUUACUGGGUGUAAAGGGAGCGUAGACGGUCCUGCAAGCCAGAUGUGAAAGCCCGGGGCGCAACCCCGGGACUGCAUUUGGAACUGUAAGGCUAGAGUGUGGGAGAGGCAGGCGGAAUUCCUAGUGUAGCGGUGAAAUGCGUAGAUAUUAGGAGGAACACCAGUGGCGAAGGCAGCCUGCUGGACGAUGACUGACGUUGAGGCUCGAAAGCGUGGGGAGCAAACAGGAUUAGAUACCCCAGUAGUC
This 440-nucleotide ribosomal RNA is filed under the name uncultured bacterium. Its description in RNAcentral is "partial 16S ribosomal RNA". It matches the Rfam family "Bacterial small subunit ribosomal RNA", at positions 338 to 795 of the family's 1533-position model. The record is from RNAcentral.